GAUGAACGCUAGCUACAGGCUUAACACAUGCAAGUCGAGGGGCAUCAGGGAGAUAGCUUGCUAUCUCCGCUGGCGACCGGCGCACGGGUGAGUAACGCGUAUCCAACCUUCCCCUUACUAGAGGAUAGCCCGGCGAAAGUCGGAUUAAUACUCUAUGUUCUCCUUUGCAGGCAUCUAAUGAGGAGCAAAGAUUCAUCGGUAAGGGAUGGGGAUGCGUCUGAUUAGCUUGCCGGCGGGGUAACGGCCCACCGGGGCAACGAUCAGUAGGGGUUCUGAGAGGAAGGUCCCCCACAUUGGUACUGAGACACGGACCAAACUCC
This 320-nucleotide ribosomal RNA is filed under the name uncultured Prevotella sp. RNAcentral describes it as "bacterial SSU rRNA". It matches the Rfam family "Bacterial small subunit ribosomal RNA", at positions 28 to 339 of the family's 1533-position model. Lineage: Bacteria; Pseudomonadati; Bacteroidota; Bacteroidia; Bacteroidales; Prevotellaceae. The record is from RNAcentral.